AUUCAAUGUGGUUUCAUUUAAAGAAUUUCUGUAUGUCCUUGUUUUUGAUUCAGACAGUGAUUAUUGCUUAAGACACCAUCUCUUUGAAGAGUAUAUUGUGUAAUAAUACAAUAAUGUUCCAUUUCAGGAAACAUCUGUGUGAGACACAUCUGCCUCCUGAUCUCUGGCAAACACUGUGACAAGGGGAAUCAUCUCGGCAUCCAGCAAGUGCCACCUCAUUUGUCACCAUGGUGCCUGUGCUUCCCCCACAGUUCCUCUGUCUCACUUUCUCGGACCCUCAGCUCUGUAUUAGUUCAUAAAAAAAGGGGAUUUGUCUUCACUGUUCCUGAAAUUUUAUUUUUGAGGUUUAUUUUUGAGAUUGGGCUAUCUGUUCUAUGUAGAAGGAAGGACUUAAGGAAAAAUUGAGCAAUGUAUGACUUUAUAGAAUACUUUAUUUAGCUUUUUCAGUUUGUAUGACCGGUGAUUCCUGCUCUUUCUGUCUCUCAUGAUUUACCUUCAUUAAAUGCUCUGAUCCAUGCUUAAAAAACUUCCAUACAGGCCUCCUUCCUUUCUAAACAUCACAUCUCUCUGCACUAAAUGAAGGCAGAAAAGAAAAGCUUCCCAAGGUACAGUGAGCAGAAAGUGUGCAAGUGCAAACCCAGACAGAGGAAAGGAUUAAUUCAAGCCUGAAAGGUCUCUGUAAGCUGGGAAGGUGUGCUAGGAAGGUGUUUAGCACAGAUAAGGACAGGAGACCCAGGGAGACAAAGACUGAAGUUAGGGGGUUUGGGAGGAUUCGUGAAAAGGACACCAGGAAAAAUAGUAAAUAGGGAUUUGACUGAACAAUGCAGUAUCUGUUAGAGAGGUGUUACAGGGGAGCCCUGGCGCUGAGAUCAGGGAGCAGAGGAGCUGGGGAGGAAGGGAGGCAGUCACAGCAGUGCCUGCAGAGAGUGGCAGGUGCUGAGACCAUGAGAAAAGCUGGGCUGUGAGUCCAGGUCCCUGAUCUACCAGCAAACAGUGGAACGACGAUUAAUUACAUCACAACUUGAAAAGUGGUGUUGUUUUCCACCCCUUCAAAUAGAGUCCACUAUUUACACUUGAAUCCACUGAUGGGCAGGAUUUUUUCAAAGACAGAAAUGAAAAACUGAUUUUAAAAAUCCAAAUUCUGUCUCACAAACAUUUCCAAAAAAUAGAAGACUUUGAAAAAGUAGUCUGAUGAGCUAAAAAUCUUGCUGUUUAUACUCAGAUUGAAGAAAGGCUGUCUGGAAGUUUCAUUCUCAUGCUAUUUUUGCAUUUUAUUUGGAAGCCCUUAGGGUCUCAAGCAGAAGCUGUAUGUAAGAGAAAAUGAAAAAUUUAUCUGAAUACAU
Molecule: long non-coding RNA, 1343 nt
Filed under: Parus major (Great Tit)
Lineage: Eukaryota; Metazoa; Chordata; Aves; Passeriformes; Paridae
Description: lncRNA (ENSPMJG00000011238.1)
Source: RNAcentral